This is a non-coding RNA of Xyrichtys novacula (pearly razorfish), 4036 nucleotides long. NCBI's taxonomy places the organism in Eukaryota, Metazoa, Chordata, Actinopteri, Labriformes, Labridae. The record is from the annotation of a GenBank genome assembly.
AGCUGAGCCAAGACUUGGUUUUGGCUCUUCAUCCUCCAAAAUGUGCAGUGACUGAUCUUUGUUGAGAUUAGAUUUACAUUAUGUUAUUUGGACUCUACCACAGUGAGAUUUUCUUUUCUCACUUGAAGUAACUCGUGGAUGUGUUGAAAUCUGAUGAAUAUUUAAGUUAAAAGGUGAAGACAAAGGUCAAAUGUGUGUUAAAGUCCGUCCAGCUCACCAGUUAUCUUUUAUCUUAUUUUAUUUUUUAGAAAAUUUGAAUACUUUAAUUCAUGAAUUAUAACUACUUCGGCUCUAUAUUUAUUUGAUUUUUGGCACAUUAGCUGAUAUAUUUAAUAUAUUUUUUAAUGUAUAGACUUCUGUCUUUUUCUCUCAUAUCCCGAGAUUUUUUCAUAUUUAUUUGUUCAGCUACUGAGACAAGAGCCCAAUGACAUCCCCACUUUCUCUCAGACAGCUUAAACACUUGGCAGCAGUUGUUAGUCCAUUUACACUGACAAAAGACCUUUCAGCUUCACUUGAAGUGGACAAAUGAAAGCCACAGGAGCUAUAAUAACUUUCCACCAUUCAGACCUUCUCCCUCUAUCGUUUUACCAUCUCCGUGCUGUCUUCCUGUUAAACGUAUUUUCAUUUCUCCUGCCAGUCGGCCUCUCCCUCUCUCCUUGUCUGAUGGGCUAAAUCUGUCACUGUCCUGUUAGAGAAAUAAACAGAGCAGGAGGACAGAGAGUCACUGUGUUCUGGUCUCUCUGAGUUCUGAUGAGAAGGGCAGACAGAGCACUGGCAACACUACAGUGAGGCUGUCUGGGAGAAAGGGACUGUUAGCAAGAAAACAUUACGUCGUCAAAGCAGAGCAGAAAGGUCACUUGAGAUUUACUCGGGAUGCUCGGUGACAAACAAAACUCUGCUCGAGUAAAAAGAAGCCAAACAGGAUGGACUGAAUUUACUCACAAAAUAAGAACCAAAGAAACCAGAGAUGGACAUUAUCCAUCUAAGAAGAGCCUUUUGUUGGACUUAAUUUAAAAGUUACAUAUUACUCUUUUAAAACAAAGAAAAAAUACAAAUAAUAUUGCACCCUGUGAAUAUUUUCUAGAUCUUGACAAGCCUUAGUGUAGUGCUACUGAAUGAAGCACCUCAUAACAAUGAGUGACCAAAAUUUGAUGAUACAUGUUUCUUUUUUUUUUAACAUGUAUUGUGUUAGUCUUUUGUCUCUAUGUAAAUUUAACAUUUGGAAAAAAUACAUACACCGUGUCUUAACAGCAGGAAAUGUUCAAGUGAUCAUCAGCAACAAGUUAGCUCGGCUGAAUUGUUUAGUGUUGGAGUAUCCAAACCAGAGAGUGACACAGCUCUGGGCAGUUUCAGAUGAGGCACCAUUUUGACCUAAUGCCCUGUUUCUAGUUUUGUCAUAUUAUUUGUGUACAAAGAAGCAGCAGGGUUUUGCUGUGUUAUACCUGUCACGUGACAGAGUUGAACAAUGGAAAUAGGACCCAAAUGCAGAACAAAAAGAACGAAAUAAAAAGCAACAAAAACACUACCAGGACACAAAGGAUUCACGCAUAAAAGAUCAUGGGGAACAGGCAGACAUACACACAUCAACAUACAAUUCAUCAACAAGGACAGAGGGGAAGACAGGGACUAUAUACACACAGGGAAACGAGCAACAGGUGAGGCUAAUGAGACACAGGUGAAACUCAUGGGUGAUUAAUGAGGGAGGGAAAAUUAGGGAAGUAAAACCAGACUAGAAACACAGGGAAUCAACUCCUACAAAAUAAAACAGGAAACACUGAAAACUGAUCUAAAGAAUAAAACACAGAUAACAGGAGGGAAACAGGGUCAAACACAAACUAAGAACUCACAAGACAGGACUACAGGGGAACAGGAGCAGCAGGAAAUAACACACAGAAAAUACACUCAAAUGACAAAACCAGGAAAAAACUAAAUUAACAGAGCAUAUGACAAUACCUCCUCAUUUCACUGCUAAAACCUCAGUAAAGUGGCAGCCAGGGUGCUGGAAGUGUUACAUAAGACAGUAGCCAUGUUCACAUGUGCAAAAUUUCUUGAUUCGAAAAUUUGAGGGAUUGGAUAAUCUGAAUUCACGUUUGUAUGGGUGCAAAAUCAAAUAAUCUGAUCGUGACGUAUGAAUCAUGCAACAAGCUUUUUUCAGAUUAGAAGCAUUUGGACAUGCGCAGAGUUGUCUGAUUUCGCUAAAACACCUGCAGAAGAAGAGUUGUAUUUACGCCUGUGCUGUCAACAAACCAUAAAACGCUGUAGUGGCUUCAUCCAAUUCAGGAGUUUUCUCCCUGUUAACUGUUGUCACUAGAUGGCACUCUUGCUCACGUAUUUUACUGUUCUGUCAAAAGUUGCACUGUGCGUGCAGGUGUGACAUCAUUACGCUUUAUAUAUGCCUUAUUAUGUUACCAGAGGUGCAGACACGGCUCCUGUGGUUGUGUUUUAUGCCAGAGUGUUAAUAAUGAAACCUCCUGAACUGGCCUCAAUAAAUAAGCUAAAGAGUGAAGACUGAGUCAGGUAAGACAGUCACGAUCAUAAUAAGCGUUUACAUGGACACAUUUCGGGAUUACGAUCGGCAUAAACCACCCCUCUCAAUCAGAAUACAAUUUAUUUCUGAUUGAGCCGAAUUGGAUCAGAAUCUUCUGAUCGACAUGUUUACAUGACUCAUCUUUAUCCCAAUCGGGCAUUUAUUCAAAUUAUUUGUGCUCAUGUAAACGCAGCUAACCUCAGACAACUAGCUAGACAUUCUUUCUUCGUAAUUUAGGGAAAAUCCUCAUUGAAAGUUACUCUUCAGUUUUCAGGUAUCCCAACAGCAGUCUUAUGGAUUGCUGUUUGCUUUUGUGAGUCCAGAAGUGCUGAUAGGUUGGUAGAUUUACUCAGAAAUAUUACUCAUUAUUAACCUAAUAUUUUUGUUUAUUACGGUCCAUAUUCUUGCCACAAAUAAGACUCUGCCACUGAUGCUGUCUGGGAGAUGUGAUUGAUCUUUAAAGCACUGAAAAGCAAAACAAGAUAUGACCCAGCUAUAAUUUUAAAAUCCACAAGUUUUUAGAAAACUUUUAUGAAGAAAUAGAAAAGCCUGAAUUUUUAUGAGUUUUUUAAAUCGUUGACAACAGAGAUGAUGCACUUUACUUUAUCUGGUUUUGGAAUAGCUUCACUUAAACCUCUGAUAAGUAUUUAGCUGCUUGUGAAAUAGACAAAAACUCCUACUGAUCCAUCUUUGUAACCAAAAAUAAACAAACAUGACUGGGAAAAACAUUGAUAUGAGUAAUAUUUUUAUGUAACUAAAAAAAACGUUUACAGUUGUUACCACUGUAAACUGAAAGUUCCUCAUGGGAUCUAUUAAAAGCUCUCAAAUUAAAUCCCUGAAUUAUUAUUCAUUUUGAGUUAAUGUAUCAGGCUUAUUCUGUUCUCCUUGGUUUUUGACUGCGAUUUUCCAAGCUGGUCUCAUCUUAAGGAGUAGUCUGCUUUGCCAUCCCUGCAACCAAAAUAAAUCUUUCAGUUUUCUCAGCACUAGGGGAAUACAGUAAUGCUCUAAUGCUGCAACAAAACCCCUUAAAUGUAAAAGACAGGGUUCACUGACCACUUUGAUGUGUUGAACUGCUGCAGAUUAAUGAAGUCUGGCUACUCGACUGGAACAAAUCAGGUCCAUUGCAGUGCAACAACUGAAGCUGGUUAUGGUCAUUAUAAAGAGGAUCAAAGACAGAUUCAUGGUUCACAUUUAGAACAAUAACAGUCACUUCAGGGCAGAAAUCACUGUGGUAAUACUUCAGCAUAAUACAUCAUAUUUGACUGGGCUUUGAGGGUGUCUGCCAGUCUUAGUCUGUAAAUCUGGUAGCCACAGUAGCUUGGAACCCUGCUGAUAUUUAGUCAUGGGCGCGUGUCUGGAGGCCGAGCAGAUUGCCACUUGUAGGUGGGUGUGAGUCACCAAAUAAACCAAAUGAAUGGUUGGUGAUGUUCUGGAUCCAAAAUGAUCCAUGGCAUAAUAGGAGCGAGGACAUCUGGCAGGUGGAAAAACAAACUAGUGAAUCACACAGUG